GACUCUCGACGAUGAAUAUCUCACCUCUCAUAUUAAUGAAGAACGUAGCAAAAUGCUAUACUUUGUGUGAAUUGCAGAAUUUUGUAAACCUUCUAGCAGGGACGGAGCCAACAUACUGUUAGGGGGUUC
RNAcentral lists this ribosomal RNA (129 nucleotides) under Solanum tuberosum (potato). Its description in RNAcentral is "5.8S ribosomal RNA". It matches the Rfam family "5.8S ribosomal RNA". From Rfam's summary of the family: 5.8S ribosomal RNA (5.8S rRNA) is a component of the large subunit of the eukaryotic ribosome. It is transcribed by RNA polymerase I as part of the 45S precursor that also contains 18S and 28S rRNA. The record is from Rfam by way of RNAcentral. Lineage: Eukaryota; Viridiplantae; Streptophyta; Magnoliopsida; Solanales; Solanaceae.